Molecule: long non-coding RNA, 830 nt
Organism: Drosophila pseudoobscura
Lineage: Eukaryota; Metazoa; Arthropoda; Insecta; Diptera; Drosophilidae
Exons: 2
Source: RefSeq, a predicted model, not a curated record
UUUUGAAGCAAAUGCGAAAGAUAUAAGUCUGAGAGUUUUUACUUUGUUGUGUUUGAGACUAUUUAAAGUCUUGUCAAAGGAUUACAAUCUAUAUAUACGAGAUGUUUAAUUGUUUCCCACUGGACAUAUCCACCCAUAAAUAUAGCUGAUGCGUAACUUCCUGACAAAAGAGAUUUGUCUUCAAGCCAGGCCAAAGUAGGCAUAAGUACAACCAAGAGAGCAAUAGCAUAGAGAGUCGGUAAUUGGUGACUAUGGAAGAAUCUUGGCGGGACAAUGCUUAGUGCAAUAUAUUAAAAUCUGUAAAAGAAAUUAACAAAAUGUUAGAUUCAUUCGGCCAAGGACAGCGGUCAUGAGGAGACAGUGACUGCCGUUUAAAUUGAAUGUUGCUUCCGCAUUCUCCUUCUGUUUCGGAUACAAUGCGGCAUGCAAGAAUAUGUAGCGAGAAAUUUCAUUUAACGAAUGAAUGCACGGAAAUGGAUAUGGUUGUCGGAAUGCAUCCCUCGCAUGUCGAAUAUCUAAUAAAAAGUAUCUUAUAACUGUACUCUACUACUAGGCGCUGUGUUGAUAUCCAGAAAGCCAUUUGAAACUUAUUUGUAUUUAUUUAAAAAUGUUCUAGGGUAAUUAAAUAGGUUCAUAUGCUUUUCUCCUUCCAAAAUGGGUGUUUAGAGGCAGAAUAUCCCAUGUACUCAGAAACACUCCUUCGCACAGAUUCUUUUGAUGCUUUUAGAGGGGACUAUACGAGUCAUGUAAUGUGUGUCUGAAAUUCUUUUUGAAUCAUUUAUGAAGCCAGCCAGCCGUCGCUGGAAAAUAAAUGCUGAAUAAAGCUCCAA